ACUGGGCGUGCGCCUGUAGUCUAGUUACUUGGAGGCCAGGGUGUGGGAUUUCGUGGGACCGGGAGUUCUGGCAUAUGGGUGCUCGUGUUGAUCGGGCGUCCACGUUAAGCGCGGCGCCGAUAUGGAUGACCUGUCAGAGGGUGAAUUGUCCAGGUCUUCUAAGGAGGAACGGACCGGCCCAGGGGGAAACCCAGCAGGCAAAAGUCCCCCCGUGGUGCGGUAGCGGGACAGCACUUGUGAAUGGUGUCCAUCUGACAGCCCGGUUGGCGCGUGAAGAUUCAAU
This 283-nucleotide signal recognition particle RNA is filed under the name Schistosoma margrebowiei. RNAcentral's name for it is "Metazoan signal recognition particle RNA". It matches the Rfam family "Metazoan signal recognition particle RNA". From Rfam's summary of the family: The signal recognition particle (SRP) is a universally conserved ribonucleoprotein. Lineage: Eukaryota; Metazoa; Platyhelminthes; Trematoda; Strigeidida; Schistosomatidae. The record is from Rfam by way of RNAcentral.